This 253-nucleotide ribosomal RNA is filed under the name uncultured bacterium. Its description in RNAcentral is "partial 16S ribosomal RNA". It matches the Rfam family "Bacterial small subunit ribosomal RNA", at positions 524 to 776 of the family's 1533-position model. The record is from RNAcentral.
UACGUAGGGUGCGAGCGUUGUCCGGAAUUAUUGGGCGUAAAGAGCUUGUAGGCGGUUUGUCGCGUCUGCCGUGAAAAUCCGGGGCUCAACCCCGGACUUGCGGUGGGUACGGGCAGACUGGAGUGUGGUAGGGGAGACUGGAAUUCCUGGUGUAGCGGUGAAAUGCGCAGAUAUCAGGAGGAACACCGAUGGCGAAGGCAGGUCUCUGGGCCACUACUGACGCUGAGAAGCGAAAGCGUGGGGAGCGAACAGG